CUCUCAGGAUCCAAAUACACUUGGUGGUUUUGUGUAAAAAUAAUGCACACUCCUUCCCUGUGGCUGAGGAUGAGAAGAUGGCGUUGGGUCGUGAUAGAUGGGAUUUAUUCCCCAAGCUGUUUGGAACCGCGAGCCGAUUGAAGGAGGAGAAGAAGGCCAUUGUCAAUGCUGCUGAUUGUUGACGCCUCAUCACCUGGAACACCUAGUACAUGGGAUAAGCUCAAUGUGGAUCAGUGAUGCAAGAGCUUUAUACAGCCUCAAUGAAGACAGCAGUGAGACUGAGCGAUCAGCUUAUCACAAAUCACUCUUCUGCUUCCCUGGGAGUGCGCUCUGCAACAAAGCAUUAAGCCGGAACUUUUGCCUUAGGCCCUGAUUUCUGAGAGCCCUUGGCCAUGAAAGUCUUUUUCCUCGUUCUCACUUUUCCCUACAGAUUUGUUCAAAGACUGGUGUUAUCAUCACCUUUUUGAGACCCUAUAAUUGAGAUUUGGAGAUAUUGAAGCAAAGGAGAAGUUUAUUUUGAAAUGCCUCUGUUAGCUCAUGGCUUUCACUGUAAAUACAGAUGGUGGGAAUGUAAUAGGGAAGCACCUCUGUUAAUUGUAUUAUCCUCAACUUGUCAAUGAAUUUUAAGUACAUUCUGGUUUGCAUUUCAUAUCAUCUUAACAGUGACAUCUUCACAUCUCGUGUUUUCC
Molecule: long non-coding RNA, 689 nt
Filed under: Equus caballus (horse)
Lineage: Eukaryota; Metazoa; Chordata; Mammalia; Perissodactyla; Equidae
Description: lncRNA (ENSECAG00000050287.1)
Source: RNAcentral